RNAcentral lists this ribosomal RNA (288 nucleotides) under uncultured bacterium. RNAcentral's name for it is "partial 16S ribosomal RNA". It matches the Rfam family "Bacterial small subunit ribosomal RNA", at positions 53 to 339 of the family's 1533-position model. The record is from RNAcentral.
ACAUGCAAGUCGAACGGAGAUAAAGAUUUCGGGUUUUUAUCUUAGUGGCGCACGGGUGAGUAACACGUGAAUAACCUGACCCAAAGAGGGGGAUAACACCUGGAAACAGGUGCUAAUACCGCAUAAGACCACAAUGUCGCAUGACGGAAGGGGUCAAAGAAAAUCGCUUUGGGAGGGGUUCGCGUCCCAUUAGGUAGUAGGCGGGGUAACGGCCCACAUAGCCGACGAUGGGUAGCCGAGCUGAGAGGCUGAUCGGCCACACUGGAACUGAGACACGGUCCAGACUCC